Molecule: ribosomal RNA, 253 nt
Filed under: uncultured bacterium
Lineage: Bacteria
Description: partial 16S ribosomal RNA
Rfam family: Bacterial small subunit ribosomal RNA
Source: RNAcentral
UACGUAGGGGCCUAGCGUUGUCCGGAUUUAUUGGGCGUAAAGAGCUCGUAGGCGGUUUGGUUAGUCAGGUGUGAAAUCUCCACGCUCAACGUGGAGGGGCCACCUGAUACUGCCAUGACUUGAGUCCGGUAGGGGAGUGUGGAAUUCCCGGUGUAGCGGUGAAAUGCGUAGAUAUCUGGAGGAACACCGGUGGCGAAGGCGACUACCUGGCUGUUCUUGACGCUGAGGCGCGAAAGCGUGGGGAGCGAACAGG